Acinonyx jubatus (cheetah) is the source of this 1909-nucleotide long non-coding RNA. RefSeq lists it as uncharacterized. The transcript is spliced from 3 exons. The record is from RefSeq and is a predicted model, not a curated record. NCBI's taxonomy places the organism in Eukaryota, Metazoa, Chordata, Mammalia, Carnivora, Felidae.
AAAGAGUCUUAGAGCAUGAAAAACACCACCAAAACUUAAGAAGACUCAUGAAGUUGUGGGUAGGAAGGUCAGAAAAGACUUGUGCGUUUUGGAGGAGAAGGUGUUACAGGUGUCAGGAACAGUAUGGAUCAGAGCAGGGAGGCAGGAAAGCUUCACCUUUAUGUGAGAACAAGGCAGGGUCUAAUUUGGUUGGGGCAAACUAGGAUAAGAAAGGUUGCUUUGGGCUACCAAUGGAGAGAGGAAAUGAAAAACGAAGGUGAGACUUGGCACGUUGUCGACAGGCAACAGAGGGUCACUAAAGGUACCUAAAUGGGGAUAUUGGAGGUCAAAUCUUGUUAUAUUUUAAAGCUAAGAGAAUCUAGUGGGUAAGGAAGACAGAGGAGUCCAAGAUUACAGCAUAUUUUUCUACCUGGGUGACUGAGGACAUGGUGAUAUUUGCCAGAAAUAGACAAGUCAGAAAAAGGGACUGGUUCAGUAACAGAAAUUGCUCUGCCGGGACAGUUUUGGUGGCAAAUGCCAGUGAGUCAUCCCAGUGGCAGUGACCUGCUAGCUGUUGGAAAUGGAGGUGCCAGAGAGAGAGGCUGAGGACAAGGAUAUGGAUUAGGAGCUAGCUCCAAAGACAGUCAUAGAAUGGGAAUGUAUCAUGGCACAGGAAGGGACCGAGGGAGAAGGGAAGAGGGCUAAGGCUAGACCUUGGCAACAGAACACUGAUGGGAAAGACGGAAGAAGAGGAGCCUGAGGAAGGCUAAAGAGGAAUAAUUACUAAUGAGGAGAAGUAAGGCAGUUCCAUGUCAUGGAAACCAACAAAAAUGGAGACGUCAAGAGGGUAAGACCCAAGAAAAGCCAGUGACCUCGGAGAGGCGUCCGCAUAUAGUUCUGGGAUGAGGCCAUAUCGCCAGGUCCAAAUAAUUUUUGAAUUAUAUGGAAAAAAACCCCCAGACUGUGUGAGGACCACACGUUUAAGAAUAAGGGAAAAUAAGGAGUGAGAGAGUAAGGUAGUGCAAGGAGGAGGUGGCUCAAAGGGUUAUGGGAAACCUGAGGUGCUUUGUAGAAUGAAGGGAAAGACGUGCCGUGAGCUCACUCAGUCCCGCCUACCUUCCUAAUGCAGGAAACUAAGAUCAGAAAAGAGAACAAGAGAAGGAGGCUGGAUGGUUUGCCGGAUACCAGAAUAUGAAGAAAUUGAUCCCAAGGAUGCCUUCACCCUGCCUCAUGAGGCAGCUUCUCUUUGGCACCACUCCUCCCUUCAGCCAUGAUGUCGGAGUUCCUGAGCCCUGCCUCGUGUGCAUGAGGUCUGACCGGUGGGGAGGCGGGUAGAGUGAACGCUGAACCCCAGGUGUCACGUGGCAUGGCUCGCGGUGCUGCAAGAGUGCGUGGGGGUGGAAAUGCAAUCUCAUUGAAAAAUUAACUGAAACAGCCGCUGGCAAGCUCCGCUACAAAGUAACUUCAUGCAUUUCAGUCUUCAAAAUGACUUUUGGACAAUCUUUUGUUUAUCUCCAGCAUUGCUCUUCUCCAUUAGCAGAAAGAUACACACGCAUUAGCUUGUGUGUAUCUACAGGGACGUCUCCCUCUCUCUCCCCCUACUCUUUCCACCCUCCCCACCCCCAAAAGCUGACGUGUUAAUUAGUGGGGAUAGUGCAUUGUUCAAAUUGUCACAAUGUGUGAAGAAGCCAGCCUGAAGAUGAGGUAGGCCAUCAGCAUGAAUUCCGUUCUCCAGGAGAGAUGGGAAAUUCUUGCGGGCCGGAGAGAGUAAUCACUUUAUUUCAGUCUCAGCUGCAUACCGGGUUUCGUCGGCUACUGUAAGGUUGAGUAAUCCCAGAUUGCUAGGGCUGCUCUCCCAUGCAUUAAAUGAGAGAAUAUGCAAAUACUAGGUAACCUGUAAGUCCUGAAUAAAGGUUAUCCUUUUAUCCUA